This 445-nucleotide ribosomal RNA is filed under the name uncultured bacterium. Its description in RNAcentral is "partial 16S ribosomal RNA". It matches the Rfam family "Bacterial small subunit ribosomal RNA", at positions 330 to 792 of the family's 1533-position model. The record is from RNAcentral.
UCCAGACUCCUACGGGAGGCAGCAGUGGGGAAUAUUGCACAAUGGGGGAAACCCUGAUGCAGCGACGCCGCGUGAGCGAAGAAGUAUUUCGGUGUGUAAAGCUCUAUCAGCAGGGAAGAAAUUGACGGUACCUGAGUAAGAAGCUCCGGCUAAAUACGUGCCAGCAGCCGCGGUAAUACGUAUGGAGCAAGCGUUAUCCGGAUUUACUGGGUGUAAAGGGAGCGUAGGCGGCCUGCCAAGUCUGAUGUGAAAUACCGGGGCUCAACCCCGGGGCUGCAUUGGAAACUGGCGGGCUGGAGUGCCGGAGAGGUAAGCGGAAUUCCUGGUGUAGCGGUGAAAUGCGUAGAUAUCAGGAGGAACACCGGCGGCGAAGGCGGCCUGCUGGACCGUGACUGACGUUGAGGCUCGAGAGCGUGGGGAGCAAACAGGAUUAGAUACCCGUGUA